This 449-nucleotide ribosomal RNA is filed under the name uncultured bacterium. RNAcentral describes it as "partial 16S ribosomal RNA". It matches the Rfam family "Bacterial small subunit ribosomal RNA", at positions 29 to 523 of the family's 1533-position model. The record is from RNAcentral.
AACGAACGCUGGCGGCAUGCCUAACACAUGCAAGUCGAACGAAGCCUUCGGGCUUAGUGGCGCACGGGUGCGUAACGCGUGGGAAUCUGCCCUUUGGUUCGGAAUAACAGUUGGAAACGACUGCUAAUACCGGAUGAUGACGAAAGUCCAAAGAUUUAUCGCCAGAGGAUGAGCCCGCGUAGGAUUAGCUAGUUGGUGUGGUAAAGGCGCACCAAGGCGACGAUCCUUAGCUGGUCUGAGAGGAUGAUCAGCCUCACUGGGACUGAGACACGGCCCAGACUCCUACGGGAGGCAGCAGUGGGGAAUAUUGGACAAUGGGCGAAAGCCUGAUCCAGCAAUGCCGCGUGAGUGAUGAAGGCCCUGGGGUUGUAAAGCUCUUUUACCCGGGAUGAUAAUGACAGUACCGGGAGAAUAAGCCCCGGCUAACUCCGUGCCAGCCGCCGCGGUAA